CAUCACUGGCCUCCCUGGCCCCAGCCCCCUUUGCUCUGUUUAGCCUAGGAUGGUAUAUAAAUCUGAAUCAUCUGGCCACCUCUUUGAGUCUCAUUUCUUUGAGAAACUCCCAAAUCUUCGAGCCACAUGAGGGAAGUGCCAAGAGAAUCACUUGCAAGGAGAGGAUGUGCCUGUAAGAAGAGUAGGUCCUGUGACGCUGAGAAGCAAAAUGUCCUGUUCAAGCUAACUUGGUAAUCCUUAGAAGCAGCCCCAAGGAAGAAGAUUGCCACACUCUGCUUGAUCUAAUGGGCCACAACAGCUCCCAAAUUGAAGAAAUGAGGAUUGGCAUGUCAAGGAAGAGAGACAGCUGAGAGAGAAGAUGGUGGCCUGUGACUAAGAAAUACUAACCUCUGGAACUAUGUGACUCUCGGAUAUCGAUUCCGUUCUGCUGCAGGCUCCAGGCUCUGGGACCACUUCUGAUCUUAGACUUGGAGGGCUUUAGGGUCUGAUUUUGGGGCUCAGCACUAAGUCAAUCUUGCUACCCAUUCAGCCAUGACGUUGUAGUCCACUCUGCAUAAAGGUGCUUCUCCCUUGUGCAGAAGAUUCAAUCUCCACAUUGUAUCCUAAUCAUGGUAGCUGGGUCCUUGUCUUGCUCCUUGUGUUUCUCAAUCUGUCUUGUCCUUUUUGAACUGAAGUCUUUCAUUGCCUUACCCAAAGUCAAGAGGUUUCUAGCCAAGAGGUUUCUAGCCUUCAUAUAACUUAACUCCUGUUGGACUCGAUAUUGCCUGUUUCUAGAUUCUUCAUGUCAUCCUUUGAAUGGAUGUUGGGACACCCUCUGCUCCUUUGAGUUGUCCCUCGUUUCCCUCCCCCUGCUUCAUACCAACUAAUAGCCUAGAAAAACAGAUGUUUAUUGUUAAGUAUUUUCCAAACUGCGUCUCCAAUAUCUAGUGGAGUGCCUGGACCAUAGUAGGCAUUCAAUAAAUAUAUAGAGAAUGAAUGAAUUCAUUCUACCUGCCAGCCAGGACUCCUUUCCAGUAUUUGCUGGCAAAGUCCAUUUUCCCAGAAACUGCCGGUCUCAGAGGUUUCUAGAUCUCAGCUCACCCCAGUUUGCCCAGGCUGCCUUGCCUUACCUUGAACUGGGACACAACACCAAAAUAUUAUGCAUCUUUGUAUCAUCAGCAAGGUGUGUCUUCAAUGCCUCAUUCUUCUUUGCAGGUUUUUGAAAAUGUUGGCCUGUUCUAGCUUAUUUUCUCUUUCCUUUGCCUCCUGGUUGUCUCUCAGAAACUUUAGGAAAAAUUUUAUUUGAUGAAAUUAAUUCAUACCAAAGUGCCAAUCACUAACAAUUCAGGGAAGUUAGCCAGUAAACUUCAAGGUAUAGCCCUGGGUUGUAGUUAGUGAAGCCAAGAGGAAGUUCCACCUUAGAUAGAGCGGGAAUGUUUCUAGAAACUGGAGAUAUUUAGCUUGGAGAUCAUCUUGGGAAGGUCAUGGCAGCUAUUUCAAAUAUACAUAUAUGUCUGAUGUGUAAAAGUCAGAAUACAUCUAUAUUGUGCAAAUAAGCAUUGGUGAUGAUCUGCCCUAA
Long non-coding RNA from Equus caballus (horse), 1558 nucleotides. The record is from Ensembl. NCBI's taxonomy places the organism in Eukaryota, Metazoa, Chordata, Mammalia, Perissodactyla, Equidae.